Molecule: ribosomal RNA, 253 nt
Filed under: uncultured bacterium
Lineage: Bacteria
Description: partial 16S ribosomal RNA
Rfam family: Bacterial small subunit ribosomal RNA
Source: RNAcentral
UACAGAGGUCCCAAGCGUUGUUCGGAUUCACUGGGCGUAAAGGGUGCGUAGGUGGUUGGGUAAGUCUGAUGUGAAAUCUCCGAGCUUAACUCGGAAAUGGCAUUGGAUACUAUUCGGCUAGAGGGUUUGAGGGGGGACUGGAAUACUUGGUGUAGCAGUGAAAUGCGUAGAUAUCAAGUGGAACACCAGUGGCGAAGGCGAGUCCCUGGAAAACUCCUGACGCUGAGGCACGAAAGCUAGGGGAGCAAACAGG